RNAcentral lists this ribosomal RNA (1511 nucleotides) under Tsukamurella pulmonis. Its description in RNAcentral is "bacterial SSU rRNA". It matches the Rfam family "Bacterial small subunit ribosomal RNA". Lineage: Bacteria; Bacillati; Actinomycetota; Actinomycetes; Mycobacteriales; Tsukamurellaceae. The record is from RNAcentral.
AGAGUUUGAUCCUGGCUCAGGACGAACGCUGGCGGCGUGCUUAACACAUGCAAGUCGAACGGUAAGGGCCUUUCGGGGGUACACGAGUGGCGAACGGGUGAGUAACACGUGGGUGACCUGCCCUGUACUUCGGGAUAAGCCUGGGAAACUGGGUCUAAUACCGGAUAUGACCUUCUCCUGCAUGGGGGUUGGUGGAAAGUUUUUGCGGUACAGGAUGGGCCCGCGGCCUAUCAGCUUGUUGGUGGGGUAAUGGCCUACCAAGGCGACGACGGGUAGCCGGCCUGAGAGGGCGACCGGCCACACUGGGACUGAGACACGGCCCAGACUCUACGGGAGGCAGCAGUGGGGAAUAUUGCACAAUGGGCGAAAGCCUGAUGCAGCGACGCCGCGUGAGGGAUGACGGCUUCGGGCUUGUAAACCUCUUUCAGUAGGGACGAAGCGCAAGUGACGGUACCUACAGAAGAAGCACCGGCCAAUACGUGCCAGCAGCCGCGGUAAUACGUAGGGUGCGAGCGUUGUCCGGAUUUACUGGGCGUAAAGAGCUCGUAGGCGGUUUGUCACGUCGUCUGUGAAAACCCGAGGCUUAACCUCGGGCCUGCAGGCGAUACGGGCAGACUUGAGUACUGUAGGGGAGACUGGAAUUCCUGGUGUAGCGGUGCGAAUGCGCAGAUAUCAGGAGGAACACCGGUGGCGAAGGCGGGUCUCUGGGCAGUAACUGACGCUGAGGAGCGAAAGCGUGGGUAGCGAACAGGAUUAGAUACCCUGGUAGUCCACGCCGUAAACGGUGGGUACUAGGUGUGGGUUUCCUUCCACGGGAUCCGUGCCGUAGCUAACGCAUUAAGUACCCCGCCUGGGGAGUACGGCCGCAAGGCUAAAACUCAAAGGAAUUGACGGGGGCUCGCACAAGCGGCGGAGCAUGUGGAUUAAUUCGAUGCAACGCGAAGAACCUUACCUGGGUUUGACAUAUAGAGGAUCGCCGGAGAGAUUCGGUUUGCCUUGUGCCUUCUAUACAGGUGGUGCAUGGCUGUCGUCAGCUCGUGUCGUGAGAUGUUGGGUUAAGUCCCGCAACGAGCGCAACCCUUGUCUCAUGUUGCCAGCACGUAAUGGUGGGGACUCGUGAGAGACUGCCGGGGUCAACUCGGAGGAAGGUGGGGAUGACGUCAAGUCAUCAUGCCCCUUAUGUCCAGGGCUUCACACAUGCUACAAUGGCGCGUACAGAGGGCUGCGAUACCGUGAGGUGGAGCGAAUCCCUUAAAGCGCGUCUCAGUUCGGAUUAGGGGUCUGCAACUCGACCCCAUGAAGUCGGAGUCGCUAGUAAUCGCAGAUCAGCAACGCUGCGGUGAAUACGUUCCCGGGCCUUGUACACACCGCCCGUCACGUCAUGAAAGUCGGUAACACCCGAAGCCGGUGGCCUAACCCCUUGUGGGAGGGAGCUGUCGAAGGUGGGAUUGGCGAUUGGGACGAAGUCGUAACAAGGUAGCCGUACCGGAAGUGCGCUGGAUCACCUCCUU